RNAcentral lists this transfer RNA (56 nucleotides) under Dipodomys ordii (Ord's kangaroo rat). Lineage: Eukaryota; Metazoa; Chordata; Mammalia; Rodentia; Heteromyidae. The record is from Rfam by way of RNAcentral.
GGGAAGUUGGCUCAGUGGUAGAGCGCUUGCCUUGCAUGCAUGAGGCCGAUUCCUCA